RNAcentral lists this ribosomal RNA (253 nucleotides) under uncultured bacterium. RNAcentral's name for it is "partial 16S ribosomal RNA". It matches the Rfam family "Bacterial small subunit ribosomal RNA", at positions 524 to 776 of the family's 1533-position model. The record is from RNAcentral.
UACGUAGGGUGCAAGCGUUGUCCGGAAUUAUUGGGCGUAAAGAGCUCGUAGGCGGUCUGUCACGUCGGACGUGAAAAUCCAGGGCUCAACCCUGGACCUGCGUUCGAUACGGGCAGACUAGAGUUCGGUAGGGGAGACUGGAAUUCCCGGUGUAGAGGUGAAAUUCGUAGAUAUCGGGAGGAACACCAGUGGCGAAGGCGGCGAUCUGGGAAGAUACUGACGCUGAGGUGCGAAAGCGUGGGGAGCAAACAGG